GCUAGCUACAGGCUUAACACAUGCAAGUCGAGGGGCAGCAUGGUCUUAGCUUGCUAAGGCUGAUGGCGACCGGCGCACGGGUGAGUAACACGUAUCCAACCUGCCGUCUACUCUUGGCCAGCCUUCUGAAAGGAAGAUUAAUCCAGGAUGGGAUCAUGAGUUCACAUGUCCGCAUGAUUAAAGGUAUUUUCCGGUAGACGAUGGGGAUGCGUUCCAUUAGAUAGUAGGCGGGGUAACGGCCCACCUAGUCAACGAUGGAUAGGGGUUCUGAGAGGAAGGUCCCCCACAUUGGAACUGAGACACGGUCCAAACUCCUACGGGAGGCAGCAGUGAGGAAUAUUGGUCAAUGGGCGAUGGCCUGAACCAGCCAAGUAGCGUGAAGGAUGACGG
Molecule: ribosomal RNA, 390 nt
Filed under: uncultured Bacteroides sp.
Lineage: Bacteria; Pseudomonadati; Bacteroidota; Bacteroidia; Bacteroidales; Bacteroidaceae
Description: bacterial SSU rRNA
Rfam family: Bacterial small subunit ribosomal RNA
Source: RNAcentral